Molecule: long non-coding RNA, 2068 nt
Organism: Ctenopharyngodon idella (grass carp)
Lineage: Eukaryota; Metazoa; Chordata; Actinopteri; Cypriniformes; Xenocyprididae
Exons: 2
Source: RefSeq, a predicted model, not a curated record
ACGUGCAAAGGAAUGGAACUUUGCUCAAAUUGCAACUUGUUUAAUGGAUUAUUUAUUUCGAUAAGGUAAUAAAGUUUCAAUGUUCAAUGUAAACUGCACUUGUUCACAUUUUCAAAACAAUUAAUAGUUUUUGUAAUAAAUCGUCUGAGCUGUUUUGCCUGAUUGAUUACUGGCAUUUAGGCAUUUACAGCAGCAAAUGUGAGCGAAUAACCUAGCACGUGCUAGUCGAACUAUUCCACCGAAUGGGUAACAUUUCUGUCCCAAGGACAUUGUAUGUAUAAAUAUGCAUGAAAAUUAACUCUAAAAUACAUUUUAUUAUUAAGCAAAAUGUCCUGAACAUUACUCUAACUGCAAAUUUAAAACAUAUAAUUUAAAACAUUAUUAAAAACUACUCAGAACACUUAAAAAUAGCAUUUGUUACUUGUCCCCGCUAUCUAAACCUAAACUUUAUCAUGAAAUAUAAUCAUUAAAAUCUUUCAGAAAUCUUAUUAUUUUUGCAUUGCUGUGUGACUCCAUAUACCAUCUAUUCUAAACAAAAAGAAAUUUCAUGUGAAAUCCAUAAUAUAUUAUAUAAAAUACACAUUUUAGUCUUGUCCCCAGGUUUUCACUCAGUUUUGUUACCCUCACACAUUGCCCUUUAUAAAAAAAAAAAAAACUUAGAACAUGCCACAUGCCACAUUUUCAACAGGAAGUUGCAUCAUCUGGAUCUUAUGCAGGCCAUGAGAAGACCAAAAAAGAUGGAGAGAAACCAUACUAUGCAGUUGCCACAAACACCCACCCAUGGCAAGCUGCAAGGGAAGGAGUGAAACACACCCGCAACCCUCUCCCCCCCCCACUACUAGCACACAUCUCCUUCACUGUGAUGUACUACUAGCACACAGCACAUCCCUUCAACACAGAAAUCUCACUCACACACAUGCACACGACCAUGUACACACACUCUUUCUCGCACACAUGCACACACACGGACACUCAUUCCUGUUACCCAGUGUUCAUUCCUGUUAAAAAAUGUUCAUUACUGUUACUAAAUUUAUUUAUUUUUCUAAAAAAAUAAAGUUAAACCACUGUUUUUAUCAGUUUUGUUUGGUCCAUCAUUUAUACAAUUGUUAAAUUAAUUAAAUUAUUUAAAAAAUGAUAUACCUGAGGCUUCUGUCUUCUUUUAAAUGAAAAAAAUGUUUUGCGUUUUUUAUUAAAAUACACCUUGCCUUAAAGGGUUAGUUCACUUUCCAAUUAGAAUUUCCUGAUAAUUUACUCACCCCCAUGUCAUCCAAGAGGUUUAUGUAUUUCUUUCUUCCGUCGAAAAGAAAUGAAGGUUUUUGAGGAAAACAUUCCAGGAUUUUUCUCCAUAUAGUGGACUUCAAUGGUCUCCAAACGGUUGAAGGUCAAAAUUACAGUUUCAGUGCAGCUUCAAAGGGCUUUAAACGAUACCAGACGAGGAAUAAGGGUCUUAUCUAGCGAAAAAAUCGGUCAUUUUCAAAAUAAUUUUUUUAAAUGUAUAUGCUUUAUAUAAACAAAUGAUCACCUUCAAGUGGUUCCGCCAAAACCGCACUUUCGUAUUCUUCAAAAAGCUUACGCUGUAUGUCCUACACCUUCCCUAUUCAACUUACGGAACGAACGUGGCGCCAGUUCCUUUUUUUUCCAUAAUCCUUUAAUGUAAAGUGAUUUUUUUUGUCACAAAUAUCAAUUAUUUGAACAAAUAACCAACAAUUUCUUUAAAAUAAACACUUUCUUGAGGUGAAUACAAAGGAAUUAAUUGACGUGCUUUUAAACAUGCUUUUUAGAUGGCAUAUGAGUUUUGGUAACAGGACUGAGAAAACAUGCAUCAAUGUUCUGCUUUGAAACCUUGUAAAAAAAAAAAAUUUAUAAAGUUGCCUGAGAUUGACCAAUACACAUUUUGAAUAGUUAAAUAUGUGUAGUAUUAGAUUCAGUGUUGAAAAAAUAUAAAAAAUAAAGUUUAAUUUUGAAAAGUUUCAACGAACAAAUGUCACCCAUUCGGUGGAAUGGCCCAGUCUAGUCUAAUACAAUUUAAUUUGACUCUGAUGUGUUUGGCCCUUAAAAAAAAAAAACU